GCCGGAUUAGCUCAGGUGGUAGAGCGGGUGAUUUGUAAUCACCAGGUCGCGGGUUCGACUCCUGCAUCCGGCACCA
RNAcentral lists this transfer RNA (76 nucleotides) under Rhodospirillales bacterium. Its description in RNAcentral is "tRNA-Thr". It matches the Rfam family "tRNA". Rfam says of the family: Transfer RNA (tRNA) molecules are approximately 80 nucleotides in length. Their secondary structure includes four short double-helical elements and three loops (D, anti-codon, and T loops). The record is from RNAcentral. Lineage: Bacteria; Pseudomonadati; Pseudomonadota; Alphaproteobacteria; Rhodospirillales.